GAAAGAGUCAGAGAAAAGGAAAAGAACAACUUUGAGCGGUGGAUCACUCGGCUCGUGCGUCGAUGAAG
RNAcentral lists this ribosomal RNA (68 nucleotides) under Zaptyx deminuta. RNAcentral describes it as "Tyrannozaptyx deminuta partial 5.8S rRNA". The record is from RNAcentral. Lineage: Eukaryota; Metazoa; Mollusca; Gastropoda; Stylommatophora; Clausiliidae.